GUGGGAAACCAGCACUGCGCAUGCGCAGUCUAGCAGACGUAAGAAAUCAAGAGCACCGCGUGGCGGUGUCGUCAUUAAGCUGACAUGUUAUUUGAAACUUACGAUCAAAAAGUUUGAUUAUCCUUUGAAAGUAUCUCAUUUAAUCACCCGGAGGAGUGGCGCGAUACUGCUAGAACCAAACGGUCAGUUAAACAAAGAGCACGGUCAGCGUUAGCUCGCUUCAACUGUACGUUAGCUAGCUUCAACUGUACGUUAGCGUUAGCUCGCUUCAACUGUACGUUGGCGUUAGCUAGCUUCAACUGUACGUUAGCGUUAGCUAGCUUCAACUGUACGAUAGCGUUAGCUCGCUUCAACUGUACGUUAGCGUUAGCUAGCUUCAACUGUACGUUAGCGUUAGCUAGCUUCAACUGUACGUUAGCUCGCUUCAACUGUACAUUGGUGUUAGCUAGCUUCAACUGUACGUUAGCGUUAGCUAGCUUCAACUGUACGUUAGCGUUAGCCAGCUUUGCGGUGAAACACGGCGAACGGUAGCGGAACGUGACGUCACAUUCAAACAACGGGGAACCAGCAGCGACCUGCGGAGGACGCGUGAGUCUACGGUCGGCUCACAUGUGUAAAGUUAAACUGAACUUCUCCACUUAUCUCUUAAAAAAACAGUAAGGCCAUUAAGCAUCACAGUUAGCGCGCGGGAACUUCAAAAUAAGAGCCUCGUUCCAGUAAUACACACUGUAAUCAUAUAUCACCAAUUACCAAUAAAUGUAAGUAAAGGAGUGAACAAAAUUUAUACAUUUUAUGAAUAAAUUUAAAAACUAAGAAUAACAGCAUUCAAACUGUCACAACAAUCACUUUUAUUGAACACACUGCAGCCUUUAAAAUGGACCGGGAAGUGGAAUAAACACUCAAAAGCGUUUAAACUAGAACUAAACACCAUAACUUGAUUGCAUCACAACAUUCUUCAGAUUCAGCUUUGUGUUCCUAAUAAACAUGUUCUUCGUAGAACGUGUUACUUGUAUUCAAAUGUAAACCGUGUCGAGGUGUGGAGGCUGGCGUUAAGAAGUACACUCACUCAGGUUCUUUACUCUCGUAUUUCUCUGCUAACGUACUCACUUUUUGGCAGAACAUGGGAUACUCAGGAAGCAGAAGUCUUAUGAAAUCCAUCUGGAUGAUCAGGACUCGUCCCGCGAGCAGCACCUGCACAUUUGGAUGUUGUUAUUUCGACACUUGGCCCGCUUAAAAGUUCAGCGUUAAAGUCCGUCCCUACGUUGUGUUAAACAUCUCAUUCCUCAAAGCCCUCCCGAAUACUUUCAUAAAGUUCCAUAAACCUGUCAGGCAAUAUGAAGACAACGCCUCGAAACAAGCUAAAUAUUUAAGGUUGUGAAUGUCUAUUUCCCAGAGUGUGUAUGAGAGGCAUGAA
Molecule: long non-coding RNA, 1414 nt
Organism: Gasterosteus aculeatus aculeatus (three-spined stickleback)
Lineage: Eukaryota; Metazoa; Chordata; Actinopteri; Perciformes; Gasterosteidae
Source: Ensembl